Molecule: ribosomal RNA, 460 nt
Filed under: uncultured bacterium
Lineage: Bacteria
Description: partial 16S ribosomal RNA
Rfam family: Bacterial small subunit ribosomal RNA
Source: RNAcentral
CCUACGAGGGGCAGCAGUGAGGAAUAUUGGUCAAUGGACGAGAGUCUGAACCAGCCAAGUAGCGUGAAGGAUGACUGCCCUAUGGGUUGUCAACUUCUUUUAUAUGGGAAUAAAAUGUUCCACGUGUGGGAUUUUGUAUUCACCAUAUGAAUAAGGAUCGGCUAACUCCGUGCCAGCAGCCGCUGUACUACGGAGGAUCCGAGCGUUAUCCGGAUUUAUUGGGUUUAAAGGGAGCGUAGGUGGAUUGUUAAGGCAGUUGUGAAAGUUUGCGCCUCAACCGUAAAAUUGCAGUUGAAACUGGCAGUCUUGAGUACAGUAGAGGUGGGCGGAAUUCGUGGUGUAGCGGUGAAAUGCUUAGAUAUCACGAAGAACUCCGAUUGCGAAGGCAGCUCACUGGACUGCAACUGACACUGAGGCUCGAAAGUGUGGGUAUCAAACAGGAUUAGAUACCCUUGUAGUC